Molecule: ribosomal RNA, 1355 nt
Filed under: uncultured bacterium
Lineage: Bacteria
Description: bacterial SSU rRNA
Rfam family: Bacterial small subunit ribosomal RNA
Source: RNAcentral
AUUGAACGCUGGCGGCAGGCUUAACACAUGCAAGUCGAACGAUGACUCUCUAGCUUGCUAGAGAAGAUUAGUGGCGGGCGGGUGAGUAACAUUUAGGAAUCUGCCUAGUAGUGGGGGAUAGCUCGGGGAAACUCGAAUUAAUACCGCAUACGACCUACGGGUGAAAGGGGGCGCAAGCUCUUGCUAUUAGAUGAGCCUAAGUCAGAUUAGCUAGUUGGUGGGGUAAAGGCCUACCAAGGCGACGAUCUGUAACUGGUCUGAGAGGAUGAUCAGUCACACCGGAACUGAGACACGGUCCGGACUCCUACGGGAGGCAGCAGUGGGGAAUAUUGGACAAUGGGGGCAACCCUGAUCCAGCCAUGCCACGUGUGUGAAGAAGGCCUUUUGGUUGUAAAGCACUUUAAGCAGGGAGGAGAGGCUAAUGGUUAAUACCCAUUAGAUUAGACGUUACCUGCAGAAUAAGCACCGGCUAACUCUGUGCCAGCAGCCGCGGUAAUACAGAGGGUGCGAGCGUUAAUCGGAAUUACUGGGCGUAAAGCGAGUGUAGGUGGCUCAUUAAGUCACAUGUGAAAUCCCCGGGCUUAACCUGGGAACUGCAUGUGAUACUGGUGGUGCUAGAAUAUGUGAGAGGGAAGUAGAAUUCCAGGUGUAGCGGUGAAAUGCGUAGAGAUCUGGAGGAAUACCGAUGGCGAAGGCAGCUUCCUGGCAUAAUAUUGACACUGAGAUUCGAAAGCGUGGGUAGCAAACAGGAUUAGAUACCCUGGUAGUCCACGCCGUAAACGAUGUCUACUAGCCGUUGGGGUCCUUGAGACUUUAGUGGCGCAGUUAACGCGAUAAGUAGACCGCCUGGGGAGUACGGCCGCAAGGUUAAAACUCAAAUGAAUUGACGGGGGCCCGCACAAGCGGUGGAGCAUGUGGUUUAAUUCGAUGCAACGCGAAGAACCUUACCUGGUCUUGACAUAGUGAGAAUCCUGCAGAGAUGCGGGAGUGCCUUCGGGAAUUCACAUACAGGUGCUGCAUGGCUGUCGUCAGCUCGCGUCGUGAGAUGUUGGGUUAAGUCCCGCAACGAGCGCAACCCUUUUCCUUAUUUGCCAGCGGGUUAAGCCGGGAACUUUAAGGAUACUGCCAGUGACAAACUGGAGGAAGGCGGGGACGACGUCAAGUCAUCAUGGCCCUUACGACCAGGGAUACACACGUGCUACAAUGGUAGGUACAGAGGGUUGCUACACAGCGAUGUGAUGCUAAUCUCAAAAAGCCUAUCGUAGUCCGGAUUGGAGUCUGCAACUCGACUCCAUGAAGUCGGAAUCGCUAGUAAUCGCAGAUCAGAAUGCUGCGGUGAAUACGUUCCCGGGCCU